UCAGCAUGAACGCGCCCGAUCUCGUCUGAUCUCGGAAGCUAAGCAGGGUUGGGCCUGGCUAGUACUUGGAUGGGAGAGUCUGAU
Molecule: ribosomal RNA, 84 nt
Filed under: Oryctolagus cuniculus (rabbit)
Lineage: Eukaryota; Metazoa; Chordata; Mammalia; Lagomorpha; Leporidae
Source: RNAcentral